This 1423-nucleotide ribosomal RNA is filed under the name uncultured bacterium. RNAcentral describes it as "bacterial SSU rRNA". It matches the Rfam family "Bacterial small subunit ribosomal RNA". The record is from RNAcentral.
AAUGAACGCUGGCGGCAUGGAUUAGGCAUGCAAGUCGAACGAUCCUUCGGGAUAGUGGCGAAAGGGUGAGUAACGCGUGAGCAACUUACCCCAAGGACGGGGAUAGCCCUGCGAAAGCGGGAUUAAUACCGGAUGUGGCGGCCCUUUUAUGAAGGGCUUGCUAAAGGAGCAAUCCGCCUUGGGAUGGGCUCGCGUCCUAUUAGCUAGUUGGUGAGGUAACGGCUCACAAAGGCGACGAUAGGUAGGUGGUCUGAGAGGAUGGUCACCCACACUGGGACUGAGACACUGCCCAGACUCCUACGGGAGGCUGCAGUCGAGAAUCUUCCGCAAUGCGCGAAAGCGUGACGGAGCGAUGCCGCGUGAGGGAUGAAGGCUUUCGGGUCGUAAACCUCUGUCACCCGGGACGAAGAAUUGACGGUACCGGGAGAGGAAGCCACGGCUAACUACGUGCCAGCAGCCGCGGUAAUACGUAGGUGGCGAGCGUUAUUCGGAUUCAUUGGGCGUAAAGGGUCCGCAGGGGGUUUGUUUAGUCUGAUGUGAAAGCCCAGGGCUCAACCCUGGAACUGCAUUGGAAACUAGCAGACUAGAGCAUAAGAGAGGAGAGUGGAAUUCCUGGUGUAGCGGUGGAAUGCGUAGAUAUCAGGAGGAACAUCGAAGGCGAAGGCAGCUCUCUGGAUUAUUGCUGACCCUCAUGGACGAAAGCUAGGGGAGCGAACAGGAUUAGAUACCCUGGUAGUCCUAGCUGUAAACGGUGUACACUAGGUGUGGGGAGGUUGACCCUCUCCGUGCCCAAGCUAACGCGUUAAGUGUACCGCCUGGGGAGUACGGCGGCAACGCUAAAACUCAAAGGAAUUGACGGGGGCCCGCACAAGCGGUGGAGCAUGUGGCUUAAUUCGAGGCAACGCGAAGAACCUUACCUGGGCUUGACAUAGGUAGACAACCCUGGAAACGGGGCUUCCCUUCGGGGCUACCAUACAGGUGCUGCAUGGCUGUCGUCAGCUCGUGUCGUGAGAUGUUCGGUUAAGUCCGGCAACGAGCGCAACCCGCGUCGCUAGUUACCAUCAGGUAAUGCUGGGGACUCUAGCGAGACUGCCCGUGCUAAGCGGGAGGAAGGCGCGGAUGACGUCAAGUCAGUAUGGCCCUUAUGCUCAGGGCUGCACACGUGCUACAAUGGUCGGUACAAUGAGACGCAAAACCGCGAGGUUGAGCAAAUCUCCAAAGCCGGCCCCAGUUCGGAUUGCAGUCUGCAACUCGACUGCAUGAAGUUGGAAUCGCUAGUAAAGGCGUAUCAGCAACGGCGCCUUGAAUACGUUCCCGGGCCUUGUACACACCGCCCGUCACAUCACGGAAGCCGGAUGCACCCGAAGUCGUUGACCUAACCUUCGGGAAGGAGACGCCGAAGGAGUGUCUGGUGACUGGGAUG